UCCAUUUUGAGACCUUGACCAAAAUCCUGAAAUUGAAAUUGUUCACUCAAGCUUGACACUCAAGUCAUCAAAAUUAGAAAGUUAUCUGGCCCUAAUAAGAAAGAGUUCAGGUGAAAGACUCAUGGACAUGGAAAUAAAUGAUUAAAUGCAGUGUGAAAACAGAGGAGGGUACGCAGAGAGAUCUGCAGGGACAGACAUGAGAGAACAGCAAUACGAGACGGCCAAAGCCCAGAUGUGGUUCUUUAGUCCUUCUGACUCACUCUAGGCUUUAAACAACAGGCUGCUGGAAAUAUUCUUAAGGAAGAAGCUGAUCUUGUCUGUACUACAUCCAAAGAUUGUUCAUACCGCUUUCAAAUAGUCCUGAUGUAUAGACUUGGGCAGAUUAUGGCUUAUGCUUUAAAAGGACUGAAUAGAUAGACUGUUCUAAAAUUAACCAAUGAACAGAAUAUUUGCUUCCCAAAACUCAUUUUGGAAUUACAUCUGCAAAUAAACAAAUUUAAAACAUUGGUUUUACAAAUUUUAAGCAAAUAAAUGAAAAAGUCUCAAUUAAAAC
Molecule: long non-coding RNA, 553 nt
Filed under: Equus caballus (horse)
Lineage: Eukaryota; Metazoa; Chordata; Mammalia; Perissodactyla; Equidae
Description: lncRNA (ENSECAG00000047946.1)
Source: RNAcentral